This 1762-nucleotide ribosomal RNA is filed under the name Staphylococcus aureus. RNAcentral's name for it is "bacterial SSU rRNA". It matches the Rfam family "Bacterial small subunit ribosomal RNA". Lineage: Bacteria; Bacillati; Bacillota; Bacilli; Caryophanales; Staphylococcaceae. The record is from RNAcentral.
UGCAAGUCGAGCGAACAGAUGAGAAGCUUGCUUCUCUGAUGUUAGCGGCGGACGGGUGAGUAACACGUGGGUAACCUACCUAUAAGACUGGGAUAACUCCGGGAAACCGGGGCUAAUACCGGAUAAUAUUUUGAACCGCAUGGUUCAAUAGUGAAAGACGGUUUCGGCUGUCACUUAUAGAUGGACCCGCGCCGUAUUAGCUAGUUGGUAAGGUAACGGCUUACCAAGGCGACGAUACGUAGCCGACCUGAGAGGGUGAUCGGCCACACUGGAACUGAGACACGGUCCAGACUCCUACGGGAGGCAGCAGUAGGGAAUCUUCCGCAAUGGGCGAAAGCCUGACGGAGCAACGCCGCGUGAGUGAUGAAGGUCUUCGGAUCGUAAAACUCUGUUGUUAGGGAAGAACAAAUUUGUUAGUAACUGAACAAGUCUUGACGGUACCUAACCAGAAAGCCACGGCUAACUACGUGCCAGCAGCCGCGGUAAUACGUAGGUGGCAAGCGUUAUCCGGAAUUAUUGGGCGUAAAGCGCGCGUAGGCGGUUUCUUAAGUCUGAUGUGAAAGCCCACGGCUCAACCGUGGAGGGUCAUUGGAAACUGGGAAACUUGAGUGCAGAAGAGGAGAGUGGAAUUCCAUGUGUAGCGGUGAAAUGCGCAGAGAUAUGGAGGAACACCAGUGGCGAAGGCGGCUCUCUGGUCUGUAACUGACGCUGAUGUGCGAAAGCGUGGGGAUCAAACAGGAUUAGAUACCCUGGUAGUCCACGCCGUAAACGAUGAGUGCUAAGUGUUAGGGGGGUUUCCGCCCCUUAGUGCUGCAGCUAACGCAUUAAGCACUCCGCCUGGGGGAGUACGAUAUGGGCGUAAAGCGCGCGUAGGCGGUUUUUUAAGUCUGAUGUGAAAGCCCACGGCUCAACCGUGGAGGGUCAUUGGAAACUGGAAAACUUGAGUGCAGAAGAGGAAAGUGGAAUUCCAUGUGUAGCGGUGAAAUGCGCAGAGAUAUGGAGGAACACCAGUGGCGAAGGCGACUCUCUGGUCUGUAACUGACGCUGAUGUGCGAAAGCGUGGGGAUCAAACAGGAUUAGAUACCCUGGUAGUCCACGCCGUAAACGAUGAGUGCUAAGUGUUAGGGGGUUUCCGCCCCUUAGUGCUGCAGCUAACGCAUUAAGCACUCCGCCUGGGGAGUACGACCGCAAGGUUGAAACUCAAAGGAAUUGACGGGGACCCGCACAAGCGGUGGAGCAUGUGGUUUAAUUCGAAGCAACGCGAAGAACCUUACCAAAUCUUGACAUCCUUUGACAACUCUAGAGAUAGAGUCUUCCCCUUCGGGGGACAAAGUGACAGGUGGUGCAUGGUUGUCGUCAGCUCGUGUCGUGAGAUGUUGGGUUAAGUCCCGCAACGAGCGCAACCCUUAAGCUUAGUUGCCAUCAUUAAGUUGGGCACUCUAGGUUGACUGCCGGUGACAAACCGGAGGAAGGUGGGGAUGACGUCAAAUCAUCAUGCCCCUUAUGAUUUGGGCUACACACGUGCUACAAUGGACAAUACAAAGGGCAGCGAAACCGCGAGGUCAAGCAAAUCCCAUAAAAUUAUUCUCAGUUCGGAUUGUAGUCUGCAACUCGACUACAUGAAGCUGGAAUCGCUAGUAAUCGUAGAUCAGCAUGCUACGGUGAAUACGUUCCCGGGUCUUGUACACACCGCCCGUCACACCACGAGAGUUUGUAACACCCGAAGCCGGUGGAGUAACCUUUUAGGAGCUAGCCGUCGAAU